This 467-nucleotide ribosomal RNA is filed under the name Shigella sonnei. RNAcentral describes it as "bacterial SSU rRNA". It matches the Rfam family "Bacterial small subunit ribosomal RNA", at positions 1 to 464 of the family's 1533-position model. Lineage: Bacteria; Pseudomonadati; Pseudomonadota; Gammaproteobacteria; Enterobacterales; Enterobacteriaceae. The record is from RNAcentral.
AAAUUGAAGAGUUUGAUCAUGGCUCAGAUUGAACGCUGGCGGCAGGCCUAACACAUGCAAGUCGAACGGUAACAGGAAGCAGCUUGCUGCUUCGCUGACGAGUGGCGGACGGGUGAGUAAUGUCUGGGAAACUGCCUGAUGGAGGGGGAUAACUACUGGAAACGGUAGCUAAUACCGCAUAAUGUCGCAAGACCAAAGAGGGGGACCUUCGGGCCUCUUGCCAUCGGAUGUGCCCAGAUGGGAUUAGCUUGUUGGUGGGGUAACGGCUCACCAAGGCGACGAUCCCUAGCUGGUCUGAGAGGAUGACCAGCCACACUGGAACUGAGACACGGUCCAGACUCCUACGGGAGGCAGCAGUGGGGAAUAUUGCACAAUGGGCGCAAGCCUGAUGCAGCCAUGCCGCGUGUAUGAAGAAGGCCUUCGGGUUGUAAAGUACUUUCAGCGGGGAGGAAGGGAGUAAAGUUAAU